This is a non-coding RNA of Miniopterus natalensis, 414 nucleotides long. Lineage: Eukaryota; Metazoa; Chordata; Mammalia; Chiroptera; Miniopteridae. The record is from RefSeq and is a predicted model, not a curated record.
UCGCCUGGAUCCUGGGUCGAUGCUCAACUGCUGAGCCAGGCCCGGCCGGGCUUGGUUUUCUUUCAGAAACCAAGGAGGCACAUCUAAUGUCAAUGCCACAGAUCCCUGGGACUAGGAGUCCUCCGAUGCUCGUAGCAGGGCGACCCGUUGAUUCCAGCCUCCACUGCAACGUGACUCCGGACGCGAACUUGGGUCAUUACUUGUAUAGCAUAUACAACGUGCAGGAGCCAUCCUGCAGUGGGAGUCCCGGUGACAGAUGCUUCCUGCUACCUCAUGGAAGAUGCAAAACCAGGUCACCCGAGCCUAGACCGCUACUUGACUUUAUGUAUAAUACACCAAGUUUUUUUUACGUAUUAAUGUACUUAAACUGUCCGAGAUCACACUGAGUAAAUAAAAAACAAAAAUAAAAAAAAA